This 801-nucleotide ribosomal RNA is filed under the name Microdochium majus. Its description in RNAcentral is "partial large subunit ribosomal RNA". It matches the Rfam family "Eukaryotic large subunit ribosomal RNA", at positions 90 to 918 of the family's 3401-position model. Lineage: Eukaryota; Fungi; Ascomycota; Sordariomycetes; Xylariales; Microdochiaceae. The record is from RNAcentral.
CGAGUGAAGCGGCAACAGCUCAAAUUUGAAAUCUGGCCUUCUGGUCCGAGUUGUAAUUUGUAGAGGAUGAUUUUGGUUAGGUACCUUCCGAGUUCCUUGGAACAGGACGCCUUAGAGGGUGAGAGCCCCGUACGGUUGGAUGCCGAGCCUCUGUAAAUCUCCUUCGACGAGUCGAGUAGUUUGGGAAUGCUGCUCUAAAUGGGAGGUAAAUUUCUUCUAAAGCUAAAUACCGGCCAGAGACCGAUAGCGCACAAGUAGAGUGAUCGAAAGAUGAAAAGCACUUUGAAAAGAGGGUUAAAUAGUACGUGAAAUUGUUGAAAGGGAAGGAUUUAUGACCAGACCUUUGCCUUGCGGAUCAUCCGGUGUUCUCACCGGUGCACUUCGCUUGGUUGAGGCCAGCAUCAGUUUUGGCGGCGGGAUAAAGACUUCAGGAACGUGACUCCCCCGGGAGUGUUAUAGCCUGCUGUGUAAUACCGCCGCUGGGACUGAGGACCGCGCUUCGGCUAGGAUGCUGGCAUAAUGGUCAUCAAUCACCCGUCUUGAAACACGGACCAAGGAGUCGAACAUUUAUGCGAGUUUUUGGGUGUUAAACCCUCAAGCGUAAUGAAAGUGAACGGAGGUGAGAGCCCUUACGGGUGCAUCAUCGACCGAUCCUGAUGUCUUCGGAUGGAUUUGAGUAAGAGCAUAACUGUUCGGACCCGAAAGAUGGUGAACUAUGCGUGGAUAGGGUGAAGCCAGAGGAAACUCUGGUGGAGGCUCGCAGCGGUUCUGACGUGCAAAUCGAUCGUCAAAUCUGCGCAU